AUGGAGAUGAUAUUUCCGCCCGGAUUUUUUACUGUUAUGGUGCAUUUGGUUCUUCAUCUAGCAACAGAGGCAAAAAUAGGUGGCCCUGUGGCCUACCGUUCAAUGUGGUUUUUGGAAAGGUAUCUCUGUGUCCUGAAGUCAUAUGUGCGUAACAGAGCACAUCCAGAAGGAUCUAUCGCUGAAGCACAUCUUGCAGACGAGUGCAUGACGUUUUGCUCAAGAUAUAUUGAUGGUUUCGCCACCAAGCAUAAUCGGCCUUCAAGGAAUGACGAUGACGAUGAGGCGGUUGAUGUUGAACAAGGAUCAACUCUGUUUCCUUCGGUAGGAAAACCACUUGGAAAGCCUGGCAAUUAUGUACUUAGAGGGAUGACUAAAUUCCAAGCACAUAGAUAUGUGUUGUUCAACUGCUCAGAUGUCAACCCAUUCCUUCGAGCUCACGCUGAUGAGAUCACUAGCGAGCGUGGUGUCUCAAACAUGGUCGAGUCCAUCCAACAUGAUAAGUUCAACGACUGGUUCAAAGCUCAUAUAAUUAAAUUGGAGAAGGAAAAUGGUAUUGGUAGUAUUAAUAAUGAUAUUAGAUGGCUAGCACGUGGCCCAGUAGAUGCAGCAAAAAGGUACCGCGCUUACAACUCCAGAGGAUAUCGGUUUAGGCCUAACCGAUUAGACAGGGUGAGUCAAAAUAGUGGAGUGGUGGUACAUGCCAAAACAUCUACAUAUGAUGCACCAGGUGAUGCGACCCCUGUUUUAGGUGAUGUGACUUACUAUGGCAGGAUAAUUGAUAUUAUUCAGUUGAACUACUCUGGACAAUUUUCGGUGGAUUUAUUUAAGUGUGAAUGGGUUGAUAUUUCUGAAAAAGGAAUUAAGAAGGACAAGUAUGGCUACACACUUGUUAACUUCUCACAUUUGAUGCACAAAGGAGACAAGAUUGAGCAUGAGCCUUUUAUUUUGCCUAACCAAGCCGAUCAAGUGUUUUACCUAGAAGACGAACUGAGCCCAGGUUGGUCAGUGGUGAUGCAGAAUAAACUACCUAGAGAUAGAUGUGACACUGGAAAUGAUGAAUGCACACGAGACGUAGAAGCUGAGCCAUUCCAUGUUUCUCACCUCACGGAUAUGUUUAAAGCGAAAAGGAAAGAUCAACACUGGGUAAGGUCUGAUAUUGAGGGAACAAUUGUGGAUGCUAAUGAUAAUUCUUUGAUCGAUGAAGAACGGUGA
This 1212-nucleotide ribosomal RNA is filed under the name Triticum aestivum (bread wheat). Its description in RNAcentral is "partial small subunit ribosomal RNA". The record is from RNAcentral. Lineage: Eukaryota; Viridiplantae; Streptophyta; Magnoliopsida; Poales; Poaceae.